Molecule: ribosomal RNA, 235 nt
Filed under: Shigella sonnei
Lineage: Bacteria; Pseudomonadati; Pseudomonadota; Gammaproteobacteria; Enterobacterales; Enterobacteriaceae
Description: partial 16S ribosomal RNA
Rfam family: Bacterial small subunit ribosomal RNA
Source: RNAcentral
AAGUCGAACGGUAACAGGAAGCAGCUUGCUGCUUCGCUGACGAGUGGCGGACGGGUGAGUAAUGUCUGGGAAACUGCCUGAUGGAGGGGGAUAACUACUGGAAACGGUAGCUAAUACCGCAUAACGUCGCAAGACCAAAGAGGGGGACCUUCGGGCCUCUUGCCAUCGGAUGUGCCCAGAUGGGAUUAGCUUGUUGGUGGGGUAACGGCUCACCAAGGCGACGAUCCCUAGCUGG